This 413-nucleotide long non-coding RNA is filed under the name Homo sapiens (human). RNAcentral describes it as "non-protein coding lnc-VCL-1:1". The record is from RNAcentral. Lineage: Eukaryota; Metazoa; Chordata; Mammalia; Primates; Hominidae.
AAAUGCUGCACACAUAGGAGUUAGUAUAAUUCAGAAAUUUAGUCUGUAUUGCAUUUGGAAAUAAUUUUGUGAAGGUUAUUCAUGCAGCAUUAUUAAUAAUUGCAAAAUAUUGGAAACCAUAUAAAUGACCAGUUCUAGAAGAUUGGUUGAAUAUACUCUGGAACAUACAAUAGACUACUAUGUUUAUAAAAGCUAUCUGUUUUUAUAAAUAUAUGGAGUAAUUUCCAGGAAAUAUUACAUGAAACAAAAAGCAGAAACAAAUACCCAUAGUGCUACUUGUCAUACAAGAAAAAGGGAGAAUUAAAGAAUGUGUAUGUUCAGGAAGGAUAAAGCAGAAAACAGGAGUGAGACUUGGAUAUUGGGGUAUACUUUCUUGGCAUAGUUUCAACUUUUGAAAGCAUGUUAAUGUCCAA